UUUUGCUUCUCCGCUUUUCCUCUCUCUCUCUCUCUCGCUUUCCCUGCACUUCUAUACAGCUACUCUUCACCCACUUCUACCAAGUACCUCUCAAGUUCUGCGUUUCUUCUCUUUACCAUAAUUUUGCGCACAUUUUAAUUCUCCGGAAAAAUCUUUAAAAAAUCUAUCUUUAAGUCUCUCAAAUUCCCCUUCUUUCUAAUCCUUAUACUCACGUUGGGGUCAUCCUUUCCAUUCUCUGCCUCUUCUUUCUUUCUUUCUUUCUCUGUUUCAACUUGUAUUUUUGGGAGCUUAUGUGCCCUCUAAUGGCAGUUUCUCUCUCUUUCCAUUUGCCUUAAUCUCUCUCUCUCUCUCCCCCCCCCCUCUCCUCUCCCCGUGCAGAUCCCAAGAAAGAGAGAAAUGGGAGGAACGUAAACCCUAAGUAAAGGAAAAGGGCAACACUCUCUCUUUAUCUCUCCUUUUCUCUUCUAUAUUUGCUUCCGGCCUCUCUCUCUCUCUCUCUCUCACGGGCUAGACUCCCUUUUCGGAGGGCCGAGGGAGAAAGUUCGACUCUUUUUCUUCUCCAGAUUAUUUUCUUCUUUUUUUCCUACUCUCUUGCUUAAGUUUUGAGCGGUGAGGAAGUGGAGGGAGGAAGGAAAGGGGAGAUAAUGGUGGGGGUUGGGGUCGGGACGAGGUUGUUUACCAGUGUCAGCAUGGAAACCAGCUGCGGGGCUUUGCUUAGAGAGCUUCAGCAUACAUGGGCGGAGAUAGGGGAGAGCGAACCAGAUAAAGAGCGUAAGUUGUUGGAGAUUGAGAGGGAGUGCUUGGAAGUAUACCGGAGGAACGUUGAUGAAGCCAGCAAGGCCAAGGCACAGCUCCAUCAGUCUGUGGCUGCCAAAGAAGCAGAGCUUGCAGCUCUCAUGGCUUCCCUCGGGGAGCACACUCUCCAUUUGAAGAAAGACAAAAAACUUGGAUCAUUGAAGGAACAACUUGCUUCAGUUGCACCUUUGGUGGAAGAUCUGAGAGCAGAGAAAGAGGAAAGGGUCAAGCAAUUUGCUGAUAUACGAUCCCAGAUUGAGAAGAUCAGUGUUGAACUAACAGAACACAAUCAUCAGAAUGACACUUCAACUAGCCCUGUUUCUACUGAAGAGCAUGAUUUGUCAAUGAGGAAGCUUAAUGAAUACCAAGCAAGGCUUCGUGCGCUCCAAAAGGAGAAGUCUGAUCGCCUUCAUAAGGUUCUGGAAUAUGUAAAUGAAGUGCAUUGUUUAUGUGGCGUGCUUGGACUGGACUUUCAAAAGACAGUGGAUGAAGUGCAUCCAAGUUUGCAUGAGACUGGUUCGGGGCAGUCCACAAGCAUUAGUAAUAACACACUAGAAGGUCUGGCCCAAGCUGUUUUGGAGUUAAAAGCAGAAAAGAAUGUUCGAGUCCAAAAGCUGAGGGAAACUGUGGAAUCACUGUUUGAACUUUGGAACUUGAUGGAUUCAUCUGAUCAAGAAAGGAGGCGCUUUGGAAGACUAACAUGCAUCAUUCGAUCACCAGAAGAGGACAUCGCAUAUUCUGGUUUGCUUUCACAAGAAACAAUUGAACAGACAGAAGCUGAAGUGGAAAGGCUGAAAAAUCUUAAAGCCAGCAGAAUGAAAGAACUCGUUCUGAAGAGAAGGUCAGAAUUGGAAGAGAUAUGCAGAAGAGCACACAUUGAGCCUGAUAUGACUACUGCACCUGAGAAAACUAAUGCAUUGAUAGACUCUGGUCUUGUAGAUCCAUCUGAACUUCUGGCCAAUAUUGAGGCACAAAUAGUGAAGGCAAAAGAAGAAUCUAUGAGCAGGAAAGAGAUAAUGGAUAGGAUAAGCAAAUGGCGUGCUGCUUGUGAUGAAGAAACUUGGCUUGAAGAAUACAACCAAGACCAGAACAGGUACAGUGCUGGAAGAGGUGCCCAUUUGAAUCUAAAACGAGCAGAGAAGGCACGGAUCACUGUCAGCAAAAUUUCAGCCAUCGUGGAUAGUCUUAUAAACAAAACUUUCACCUGGGAGAAUGAGAGGAAUAUGCCAUUCAUGUAUAAUGGGGUUCGUUUAGUAUCUAUUCUAGAGGAGUAUAAACUUACUAGACAGCAGAAAGAAGAGGAGAAAAGACGAUAUCGGGAUCAGAAAAAGCUGCAAAGUCUACUUCUUACAGAGAGGGAAGCAAUAUUUGGGUCCAAACCAAGCCCAAAAAGGAGCAACAGUUUUAAUAGAAAGCCGAAUGGAUAUAAUGCAAAUGGAAAUGGAUUCAUGACCCCCAUUCCACGGCGUCUUUCUGUUGGUAGUGCCACCCCUGAACUCCUUACACCACGCUCAUAUGCUGGUCGUUACAAUGGAUACUUUAAGGAGACAAGACAGUUGUCAACCACACCAUUGAACUUUGUUUCUUUAUCAAAAGAUGAUACCUUGUCGACCUUCACAUCUGUCAGUGGUUCAGAACCAGAAUCUCCACAACAAAUCUAAAUCUGGACGCUGAAGAAGAAAGAUCUUAUCAUGGAUUCAUAAGUCAGACAAAAACGUUACUGGAAUGAAGGAGGUGCAGGCAUCUGAAGUUGUUAGCAGAAUUGUACACUAGUGUUUUACCAGUGUUUUUAUCUUAGGACUUCGACUGGUGAGUGUUUACAGUUGUGAGAUAAUGCUUUAUAAGCUGAAAUUUUAUGGUGUAGAUACAGAAACUAACUAGGAGGUGCUGACUGCGUUGCAUUAAGAUUGGUUCUUUAGCUGAGAAUAGCAUUGUGAAAUUAUGUUGGGUGCUGGGUCUUCGUGUACAUAAAGCAGUGGUGCUUGUGUGAACUCCCUGUCUGUACCUUGUACCGCUAGAAUUUCAACAGGAUACAAAUCUUUCAGAGAUAAGAAAAUAUACUAACCAGUGGAGCUGAAGAAAUUUUCCAUAUAUCUGUACCAAAAAAAAGGGAAAUUUUCCAGAAGAUGCUUUACUUUUUUUAUUUCUUUUGCAGGUUUCAAUUAGCAGUUGUUCAAGUUUGUGAUGGUCAUCUUUUUUAUGUCACAGAGAGGCGAUCAAAUAUAUGAUUUGUUUUUCUUAGAAUUGCUACAUUUUAAUGCUCAACUUAUGACAAGCCACUAAUUACAGCAUUGACAGUAUUUCUGUG
Phoenix dactylifera (date palm) is the source of this 3103-nucleotide RNA transcript. It is a transcript of the gene named 65-kDa microtubule-associated protein 6-like, with no coding region annotated. The record is from RefSeq and is a predicted model, not a curated record. Lineage: Eukaryota; Viridiplantae; Streptophyta; Magnoliopsida; Arecales; Arecaceae.